Molecule: ribosomal RNA, 63 nt
Filed under: Paramyrothecium roridum
Lineage: Eukaryota; Fungi; Ascomycota; Sordariomycetes; Hypocreales; Stachybotryaceae
Description: partial 28S ribosomal RNA
Source: RNAcentral
UAAACACCCCACUUCUGAAAGUUGACCUCGAUCAGGUAGGAAUACCCGCUGAACUUAAGCAUU